This is a long non-coding RNA of Hemicordylus capensis (graceful crag lizard), 1081 nucleotides long. RefSeq lists it as uncharacterized. The record is from RefSeq and is a predicted model, not a curated record. The transcript is spliced from 3 exons. NCBI's taxonomy places the organism in Eukaryota, Metazoa, Chordata, Lepidosauria, Squamata, Cordylidae.
GCGUCCUUUCCGCCCAAAGCGGCAGUUCGGGCAGAGUCUGUGCAGAGAGAGGAGCUCUGCCUGCGUGCUCCUCACUUCCUCUUCAAUGCCGGUAUUUCAUCAUCCAGCUUACAUGGGACAGGGUCUCUACCUCCUUUCAUUUUCACAAUGCUCACAUUGACCGGCGACAUCUGCUGGCCGCCUAGCAAGCUACAUCACUAAUGCUCCAAACCACAGGUGGUAUCUUCCAGGCUGAGAUCCUUUUAACCAAAGAUCCUAAGGACUGUGUGCAAAGUAUGUGCUUGAACUCUGAGCAGUGGUGCCUCUACUUCUGAGGAAAGUGGAAGUGAUCUGUCGGUAGAGUAAAAUAUGACACUCUAAAUUAGAAUAGUUACUUUUCCAGGUUCAUAAAAACUGCCUGCUGAAAGCAAAAAUUACUGUGCCACAACUUGCUGUUCUCAGUUCCUGGUUGAAUUAGAAUCUAACAUGUCACUGCACAAAUUGGGACAAUGGUGGCUCCUGAGUUUCUUUGAUGUAACUGUUUCUGUAGAAUGAGUCCAGUAAGGAGAGCUUUUAUGUAGUUUCUGUGCACUGAAGAUGUGAUACUUCAAACACCAACAGGCUUAAUAGCCUUGCAUUUAUUAGGGCACAAGGUGGACACGAUGUGAAUUUCCAUUCAGUUCUGUGCAUGCCCUGAAGCAGAACAUUUGUAAAAGUGAUAGUUGAUUGCUUCCUGUUACCUGUGUCUUUGCCUUUGAUUCCAUGGCUGCUGCUGGGGUGUAACAGCUGCAGCAGAAAUUAGGUUGAGCUUCAGUGUGUUUGAAGUACAGCCUUGUAUCAUAUAAAGUAUUGUAUACUUCAGCGUCCCUGUCAUUUUAGGAUGUGUUGUGAAUUCUUUUGUUAAAUUAGAAUAACUUCAUGCUUUUAGAAUAUUUGUGGAUUCUGCUACAGGCAGCCACAUGUUUAAUUCCUUUUUAGUUUUGCUGAAGUCAAGCAAUAGGAAUUUACUUAUUUCUUUUCACUGUUAUCUAACAAUUCACCUAGUACGGGAGACAGCUCUCACUUAAAACUUAAAAGCCAAUAAAGACAAGUGUGGAAUCAA